Molecule: ribosomal RNA, 115 nt
Filed under: Amphilophus citrinellus (Midas cichlid)
Lineage: Eukaryota; Metazoa; Chordata; Actinopteri; Cichliformes; Cichlidae
Source: RNAcentral
GCUCAUGGCYAUACCAACCUGACUACUCCCAAUCUCCUCAGAUUUUGGAAGAUAAAUGGGGUGGGGCCUGRUUAGUACUUGGAUGGGAGACCUCUUGGGAAUACCAGGUGCUGCU